GGAUGUGAUACGCACACAAUAACAGUAUGUAUAGGUCAUAUUUUAUUUUAAAAAUUUUAAAAUUAAAACGUGAAGAUGAUGUGGCGUUUGAAAGAAGAUAUUGAUUCGGAUACUUUGUACAAUAACGAUGAGGAAAUCGGCGCUAGUAGGCCCUACAGGUCUGUGUCCGCCCUGAAGAAGAUCUUCAUUUUUUGAAGGUGAAGCUACAAUAUUUGUCUUGAACUUGACUUUACUAGCUGGGCUUAUAAAGACAAGAUAUCCAGAAGUGAUUUCAUAGAGAAAUGGAAAUCAAUAAUACCUAGAAGCAUGUGAAGUGGAGAUGAAGUGAUGCUGAGAACUUUUAAGGAAACUUCUCAGUGAAGUACGAUGAUGGCACACAAGAGUACCUUCUUCAUGUUCUUCAUGGGAUAAAGCACAGGAUCAUUAUAAUCAGGAGUUACUCACAGGAUCAUUAUAAUCAGGAGUUACUCACAGGAUCAUUAUAAUCAGGAGUUACUCACAGGAUCAUUAUAAUCAGGAGUUACUCACAGGAUCAUUAUAAUCAGGAGUUACUCACAGGAUCAUUAUAAUCAGGAGUUACUUACAGGAUCAUUAUAAUCAGGAGUUACUCACAGGAUCAUUAUACCCCCAAAAACGAAGUUUGGGUGGGUAUAUAGGAGUCACCCGGUGGUCGGUCGGUCGGUCCAGACGUCCGUUGCAUUUUCCUUGUCCGGAGCAUAACUUGAAGACUAAUAGUUGGAAUUCAAUAUGACUUCAUACAAUGGUCAAGCACAUGGAGAGGAAGUGCAGUGCACAAGAAUCAUAACUCUAUCUUGACUAAUUACAGAGUUAUUGCCCUUUGUUCCUUUUCCUUGUCCGGGGUAUAACUUGAAAACUACUGGUUGGAAUUCAAAACAACUUCAUACAAUUGUCAAACACAAUAAGGGGCAGUGCAGUGCACAAGAACCAUAACUCUAUUUAAAGUAAUUUCAGAGUUAUUGCCCUUUGUUACUUUUCCAUUACUUUCUUUUGUCCGGACCAUUACUUGAAGACUGAUGGUUGGAAUUCAAUAUAACUACAUACAAUGGUCAAGCACAUUGAGAGGAAGUGCAGUGCACAAGAACCAUAACUCUAUCUUGACUAAUUACAGAGUUAUUGCCCUUUGUUACUUUUCCUUGUCCGAACAUAACUUGAAAAUUACUGGUUGGAAUUCAAAACAACUUCAUACAAUUGUCAAACACAAUAAGGGGAAGUGCAGUGCAUAAGAACCAUAACUCUAUCUAAAGUAAUUACAGAGUUAUUGCCCUUUGUUACUUUUCCAUUGCUUUCUUUUGUCCGGACUAUAACUUGAGGACUAAUUGUUGGAAUUCAUUAUAACUUCAUACAUUGGUCAAGCACAUUGAGAGGAAGUGCAGUGCACAAGAACAAUAACUCCAUCUUGACUUAUUACAGAGUUACUGCCCUUUGUUACUUUACCUUGUCCAGAGCAUGACUUGGAAACUACUGGUUGGAAUUCAAUACAACUUCAUACAGUUGUCAAGGACAAUAAGGGGAUGUGCAGUGCACAAGAGCCAUAACUUCAUCUUGACUAAUUACAGAGUUAUUGUCCUUUGUUUCUUUUCCAUUGCUUUUUUUGUCCGGAUCAUAACUUGAAGACUAAUGGUUGGAAUUCAAUAUAACUACAAACAAUGGUCAAGCACAUUGAGAGGAAGUGCAGUGCACAAGAACCAUAACUCCAUCUUGAGUUAUUGCCCUUUGUUACUUUUCCUUGUCCAAAGCAUAACUUGAAAACUACUGUUUGGAAUUCAAUACAACUUCAUACAGUUGUCAAGGACAUUAAAAGGAAGUGCAGUGCAUAAGAGCCAUAACUCCAUUUUGACAAAAUACAGAGUUACUGCCCUUUGAUACUUUUCCUUGUCUGGAGCAUAACUUAAAAGGUACUGGUUGAAAUUCAAAACAACUUCAUACAAUGGUCAAGCACAAAAAGAGGAAGUGCAGUACACAAGAACUAUAACUCCAUCUUCAGUAUUUAUAGAGUUAUUGCCCUUUGUUCCUUUUCUUUGUCUUUCUUGACUUAUUACAGAGUAAUUCAAUAAAACUUCAUCAAUGGCCAACCACAGUGAAAGGAAACAUACAAGAACCAUAACUAUCUUUAAUUGCCCACAACCAUAACUCUAUAUUUCAAUUCUUUUACAAGGUAUUCUGUUACUAGUAACAUGCUCAUUUCCGAGGCAGUCUUGUGGGGGUAUUAAUCACAUUUAGUGAUAGUUCUAGUUAUAAUCAGGAGUUACUCACAGGAUCGUUAUAAUCAGGAGUUACUAGUACUCAGUCAACAUAGACUCAAUGUUAAAAAAGAAUUAAAUGGAUAUUAAUGUUAGCCUAAAUAUAUUUGACCUAGAGUCUUUAGUUUGUGUUGGGGCACCCAUGUCCUUUGGAUACUUUUCUAGUUACAAUUUAUUUAGACAUUAGUGUAAAUACAACGAAAUUAAUUAUUUAAUGCUGUUCAUGUUUGAACUAUGUUUUAAUCUUACCUACAUGUAUAAAAAUCAAACAUUUUUAGCUCGACUAUUUAAUAAGAAUAAGUAUAGCUAUUGUAGUCACCCGAGUGGCGGCGUAACCUCCUAUGUUAAAGUUUUUGUAAUACCACAAAUAUUUUCAAAGUCCAUUGACAUAUGGCUUUGAAACUUAGGGCACUUGUUAACCAUCAUGACCCCAAUCUGUAGACAGGAGGAGGUAACUGUAUUGAGCAUUUUGACAGAAUUAUGCCCCUUUUACGACUUAGAAUUUACAUUCAAGUUUUUGAAAUACCACCUCAGAUAUUUUCAAAGUCCAUUGACUUAUGGCUCUGAAACUUUGCACACUUGUUCACCAUCAUGACCCCAACCUGUUGACAGGAGGAGGUAACCGUAACAAAUAUUUUGACAGAAUUAUGCCCCUUUUCCGACUUAGAAUUUACGUUAAAGUUUUUGUAACACCUCAAAUAUUUUCAUAGUCCUCAAAACUUUGCACACUUGUUUAACGUCAUUACCCCAACCUGUAGACAGGAGGAGGUAACUGUAUGAAGCAUUUUGAGAGAUUAAUGCCACUUUUUCAACUUAGAAUUUACAUUUAAGUUUGCAUACCACGUCAAAUAUUUUCAUAUUGCUUUUAAACAAGUUGAAAUUUUAAACUUUUCUUUGAGAGUAUAAUAUGACUCCCUCUCAAAGGCUUAUAACUGUAACAUGGAUUUAAAGAAAAAAUUUACCCUUUUGUUAACUUAGAAAAUUUUACAUUAUCAAGGCUCUUUUACUAUCAAGCACUAAGAAUAGUCGAGCGUUGCAAUCGUAGAAUAAUACAAUAUUUUAUUGAUACUCGAUACAUUUUAAGUUUGCAGCAUUAAGUUUUAUGCAGCUUAAGAAGUUUUAUUAUAUUGCUUGUUUUUCAUUUUACAAAGAUAGAAAUUUUGACCAUACAAAACAACUCAAAUUGCAUUUUAAAAGGUGUAAAAUUUGAAUAAUUUACUGCAUAGUGUAUACAUGUAAAUGGUUUAAUUAUACCCCCACAAACGAAGUUUAGGGGGGGUAUAUAGGAGUCAGCUUGUCGGUCGGUCGGUCGGUCCGUCCGUCGGUCGGUCCACAUCAUGGUUUCCGGACGAUAACUAGAGUUUGGAAUGAGGUAUUGUAAUCAAACUUGGUAUAUAGCAACCUUAUGUGGAAACUCCGGUUGGUAUUGCAUUUGGACCCCCUGGGGUCAAGGUCAAGGUCACCGUUACUAAAAAUAGAAAAAUGGUUUCCGGACAAUAACUAGAGUUAGGAAUGAGGUAUUGUUAUCAAACUUGGCGUAUAGCAAGCUUAUAUGAAGACCUGGGUUGGUAUUGCAUAUGGGCCCCCUGGGGUAAAGGUCAAGGUCACCGUUACGAAAAAUAGAAAAAUGGUUUCCAGACAAUAACUUGACUUAGGAAUGAGAUACUGUAAUCAAACUUGGUGUAUAGCAAGCUAAUAUGAAGACCUGGGUUGCUAUUGCAUUUGGACCCCCUGGGGUCAAGGUCAAGGUCACCGUAUCUAAAAAUAGAAAAAUGGUUUCCAGACAAUAACUUGACUUAGGAAUGAGAUACUGUAAUCAAACUUGGUGUAUAGCAAGCUAAUAUGAAGACCUGGGUUGCUAUUGCAUUUGGACCCCCUGGGGUCAAGGUCAAGGUCACCGUAUCUAAAAAUAGAAAAAUGGUUUCCGGACAAUAACUAGAGUUAGGAAUGAGAUAUUGUUAUCAAACUUGGCGUAUAGCAAGCAUAUAUGAAGACCUUGGUUGGUAUUGCAUUUGGGCCCCCUGGGGUCAAGGUCACCGUUACGAAAAAUAGAAAAAUGGUUUUCGGACAAUAACUAGAGUUAGAAAUGAGAUAUUGUAAUCUAAUUUGGUGUAUAGGAAGCUUAUAUGAAGACCUGGGUUGGUAUUGCAUUUGGACCCCCUAGGGUCAAGGUCAUCGUUACAGUGUUACUAAAAAUAGAAAAAUGGUUUCCGGACAAUAACUAGAGUUAGGAAUGAGAUAUUGUAAUCAAACUUGGUGUAUAGCAAGCUUAUUUCGAGACCCCAGUUGCGAUUACAAUUAAUUGAAAUAUUUCUUUGUACACAUUUGAUAGUUUGCGUUCAAAUUUUUCUUCAGACAACUUUUUUUUCCAAAAGUCAAAGUUGCUGGUGGGGGUAUUAAUCACCUUCAGUGAUAGGUCUAGUUGCAUUUGCAGACAAUAUUACCUUUAAUGAAAAAGGCUAUUAAUAUUAUUUUUUUUUAUAAAAAGCAGUACAAGUACUGACCAAUCAAUUUAUGUUAAAUAUUUCAGUUAAAGCUGCACACCUCCAGAUUCAUGUUAAAUUUUAAUAGAAAUUUAGAAAAUUAAAAGUUAUAUAUUGUGUGAACAUAGAAAGUAUUUUCACAUUUCAUUGAACGAAACAAUCUGUAAACUACCAAAACCAGGUGACAAUAUGCAGAAAUAACUUUUAAUUUACUGGGUUAGUCAAUGAGUAGAAAUAUGGGAAGAAAUACUACAACAAUUUGUCAUAUAUUGCAUGUAAUAUGCACGUUACCACUUGCAUUGAUAAUUAUUUUUACUUUUCUUAAACAUUUUUCUCAAGUUUGAUUUUCAUGAAAUAGACUUGGUCAUCUGGAGGCAAUUGAAACUUUAAUGCAGCAUGUGGUCAGAAUGCUUUUGUGUAAUACAAAAAUACCACUGGCAAAUUGUUAUAAUCAAGCAGAGGCAAUCGGUAGUAUUAUUUUCCUUGCCCUGUUGACUGACAUCUGUUUAUGAUAUAAACAAAGGCUAAAAAAUGGCUUUUAUAUUUCAUUGAUAUAAAUUUAAUUGAUUUAAUUUGUUUAUCUUGUACUGAGGUAUAUUUAAAUUUGCUUUUAAUUUUGAAAAUAUUGAUACAGUUGUAAAACGGUAUGAACCAGUAAGUUUUGAAACAGUUUUCAGUACCGGGUCACGGUCUAAGUACCGAGUAGUGGUUUCAAACCCGGCCAACAUUAUCAAUGUGUCUGCUCUAAUAUAGAAUUAUAUAUAAAAAUUGACAUUGACACUUUUAAGACAUUGUCCUUUAAGGUUAAAUUAUUGAAUUUUCACUUAUUUUUGCUAUAAUUGACUGUAACUUCGUAAUUAUUAAAUGUGUUAUCUUCAUACUUUGACAAAACAACAUUUAGGGGUGGACCUUCUAAAAAGUUGAAAUGACCGUGACCUUAAGCUUUAAAUGACCUUGACUGUCAAGGUCAGAUUAGUGUCUCUUGAUUUUUUUUAACUGGCUAAAUGGAUUUUCUUCAUAUUAAGACACAACAUCAUAUUUCUUUAAUGCUGGUGGAACAAUUUCAAAUCAAUUGUAUUAUUAUUUUAUGAUGUUACUUUCAGUUUUAUUUUUAUUAAACCAUAAAAAGUUGUUAAGGAUUUUAAUUUCAUGUAAUAAGUAAAAUUUCUUUCGGGGAACAGGAUUAUUUAUGAAUUUAUUUUUUCUUUGCAUUAGAUGAAAUCAUAUUUCUGUUCUGCUGGCGGAACAAUUUCAAAUGAGUUACAUUAUUUGAUUUUAGUUUAAGAAAUAUUUUUUUGACAAGAUCUUCCUAGGGUGUUACAAAUUGUAUCUUGUAGUAAAAAAAUGUUCCGCCAGCAGAACAGAAUCACUUAUGGUUAUAUCCUAUGUUUAAACUGAUGUUAUCAUACUUAUGUUCCGCCGGCAGAACAAUUUCAAAUCAAUUUUAUUAAAUGAUAUUCGUUCUGGAUUAUAUUUUUGAUUAAUCCUAAAAAGGUUAAGAAUUUUUUUGUAGUAAAUAAAUGUUCCGCCGGCAGAACAGAAUCACUUAUGGUUAUAUCCUAUGUUUAAACUGAUGUUAUCAUACUUAUGUUCCGCCGGCAGAACAAUUUCAAAUCAAUUUUAUUAAAUGAUAUUCGUUCUGGAUUAUAUUUUUGAUUAAUCCUAAAAAGGUUAAGAAUUUUUUUGUAGUAAAUAAAUGUUCCGCCGGCAGAACAGAAUCACUUAUGAUUAUAUCCUAUGUUUAAAGUGAUGUUAUCAUAUUUAUGUUCCGCCAGCAGAACAAUUUCAAAUCAAUUUUAUUAAAUGAUAUUCUUUCUGAAUUAAAUGUUUAAUUAAACCUAAAAAGGUUGUUAAGAGUUUUCUUGUUAUAAAUAAAUGUUCCGCCGGCAGAACAGAAUCACUUAUGGUUAUUUCCUAUGUUUAAAUUGAUGUUAUCAAACUUAUGUUCCGCCGGCAGAACAAUUUCAAAUCAAUUUUAUUAAAUGAUAUUCUUUCUGAUUUAUAUUUUUGAUUAAACCUAAAAAGGUUAUUAAGAUUUUUCUUGUUAUAAAUAAAUGUUCCGCCGGCAGAACAGAAUCACUUAUGAUUAUAUCCUUUGUUUAAAUUGAUGUUAUCAAACUUAUGUUCCGCCGGCAGAACAAUUUCAGAUCAAUUUUAUUAAAUGAUAUUCUUUCUGAAUUAAAUGUUUAAUUAAACCUAAAAAGGUUGUUAAGAGUUUUCUUGUUAUAAAUAAAUGUUCCGCCGGCAGAACAGAAUCACUUAUGGUUAUUUCCUAUGUUUAAAUUGAUGUUAUCAAACUUAUGUUCCGCCGGCAGAACAAUUUCAAAUCAAUUUUAUUAAAUGAUAUUCUUUCUGAUUUAUAUUUUUGAUUAAACCUAAAAAGGUUAUUAAGAUUUUUCUUGUUAUAAAUAAAUGUUCCGCCGGCAGAACAGAAUCACUUAUGAUUAUAUCCUAUGUUUAAAUUGAUGUUAUCAAACUUAUGUUCCGCCGGCAGAACAAUUUCAAAUCAAUUUUAUUAAAUGAUAUUCUUUCUGAAUUAUAUUUUUAAUUAAACCUAAAAAGGUUGUUAAGAAUUUUCUUGUUAUAAAUAAAUGUUCCGCCGGCAGAACAGAAUCACUUAUGGUUAUAUCCUAUGUUUAAAUUGAUGUUAUCAAACUUAUGUUCCGCCGGCAGAACAAUUUCAAAUCAAUUUUAUUAAAUGAUAUUCUUUCUGAAUUAUAUUUUUGAUUAAACCUAAAAAGGUUAUUAAGAUUUUUCUUGUUAUAAAUAAAUGUUCCGCCGGCAGAACAGAAUCACUUAUGGUUAUAUCCUAUGUUUAAAUUGAUGUUAUCAAACUUAUGUUCCGCCAGCAGAACAUUUUCAAAUCAAUUUUUAUUAAAUGAUAUUCUUUCUGAAUUAUAUUUUUGAUUUAACCUAAAAAGGUUGUUAAGAAUUUUAAUAUAUUGUAAUAAGUAAAUGUUCUGCCGGCGGAACAGGAUUAUUUAUGAAUUUAUUUUUCCUUUGCGUUAGAGUGAAUCAUAUUUCUGUUCUGCUGGCGGAACAAUUUCAAAUGAUUACAUUAUUUGAUUUUAAUUUAAGAAAUAUAUUUUUGACAAAAUUUUGCAAAGGUGUUAAAAAUUGUAUCUUGUAGUAAAUAAAUGUUCCGCCGGCAGAACAGAAUCACCUACGGUUAUAUCCUAUAGAUGUUUAAAUUGAUGUUAUCAUACUUUUGUUCCGCCGGCAGAACAAUUUCAAAUCAAUUUUAUUAAAUGAUAUUCUUUCUGAGUUAUAUUUUUGAUUAAACCUUUAAAGGUUGUUAAGAAUUUUGAUAUGUUGUUAUAAGUAAAUGUUCCGGCGGCGGAACAGGAAUUUUUAUGAUUCUAUCUUAUUUUUGCAUUCAUAUGGACUGGAAUCAUAUAUCUGUUCUGCUGGCGGAACAAUUCCAAUGAGUUCUUUUAUUUGAUUUUUACUUUAAGAAAUGCAUUUGUUACAAAAUCUUGCAAAGGUUGUUCAGAAUUGUGAUAUGUUGUAAUUAAUAAAUGUUCCGCCGGCAGAACAGAAUCACUUAUGGUUAUAACCUAGUAUGUUUUGAUACAUGUUUUCAUACUUAUGUUCCGCUGGCGGAACAAUUUAAGACUGAACUAUUUUGUAAAAUAACUUAAUAUAUGUUUUAUUUAAUGUUCCGCCGGCAGAACAUUUUAGCAUUUUUGGAUUCUUGCUAUCUCGCAGAAAGAACUGCUAAAUGUUCUGCUGGCGGAACAAAUCAUGAUUUAUUUGUGAUAAUAUGCUGUAUUUUUAUAACAAAAUGAAAUAAAUUUUGUGUUAAAUAUAUUUUCA
Long non-coding RNA from Ruditapes philippinarum (Manila clam), 8560 nucleotides. RefSeq lists it as uncharacterized. The record is from RefSeq and is a predicted model, not a curated record. The transcript is spliced from 4 exons. Lineage: Eukaryota; Metazoa; Mollusca; Bivalvia; Venerida; Veneridae.